Long non-coding RNA from Bubalus bubalis (water buffalo), 551 nucleotides. RefSeq lists it as uncharacterized. The transcript has 3 exons. The record is from RefSeq and is a predicted model, not a curated record. NCBI's taxonomy places the organism in Eukaryota, Metazoa, Chordata, Mammalia, Artiodactyla, Bovidae.
AUGGAUCAUCUCUCUUGCUCCAAGGAAACCAGGAAUAACCUGAGCCUAACUCAUCCCAUUUGCAAAUGAUAGGGCACCUGAGGUCGAUGGAAGAUGGUGAGACUAAUAGAGGAGUUUAGAUCGGAUCCACUGUCGCACACCCUUCACCGCAGACAGAGGACCAAUCCACCUCUUUCUGGUAUACUGAGAAAUGUUUCUGAGCUCUUCCUUUUCCCUGAAUAAGAGUGAAAAUAGCAGGUGAGCUGGGGCCAAAGACUUAAACUGGGCACUGCAGGCUGUGGGCCUCAGUAAUGCGAUGUGCUCAGAGUGCAUGAUGGAUGCCUUCUCCUCUCCAUCUUGUCAGCGGAUCUCGGACUGCGUGUAUAACCUCAUUUGGGGAUAAUAUCAAGAGCCCAUAUCUGAGCCCUUUGACAGAGGGUUCUCCAUAAACCCCAGAUGCUUGGCCACCCUGCCCUGGCUCGGGUUCUCUCUGCUCGUCCCUGACACGGCAGCCUGGACCAGCUCUGAUGAGAAGGAACGUGAAGCCAGCCAUCCUGGAAUUUCUUUGUAUU